This 690-nucleotide ribosomal RNA is filed under the name Escherichia coli. RNAcentral describes it as "partial 23S ribosomal RNA". It matches the Rfam family "Bacterial large subunit ribosomal RNA", at positions 1216 to 1890 of the family's 2925-position model. The record is from RNAcentral. Lineage: Bacteria; Pseudomonadati; Pseudomonadota; Gammaproteobacteria; Enterobacterales; Enterobacteriaceae.
AUGCGUUGUUGGGUAGGGGAGCGUUCUGUAAGCCUGUGAAGGUGUACUGUGAGGUAUGCUGGAGGUAUCAGAAGUGCGAAUGCUGACAUAAGUAACGAUAAAGCGGGUGAAAAGCCCGCUCGCCGGAAGACCAAGGGUUCCUGUCCAACGUUAAUCGGGGCAGGGUGAGUCGACCCCUAAGGCGAGGCCGAAAGGCGUAGUCGAUGGGAAACAGGUUAAUAUUCCUGUACUUGGUGUUACUGCGAAGGGGGGACGGAGAAGGCUAUGUUGGCCGGGCGACGGUUGUCCCGGUUUAAGCGUGUAGGCUGGUUUUCCAGGCAAAUCCGGAAAAUCAAGGCUGAGGCGUGAUGACGAGGCACUACGGUGCUGAAGCAACAAAUGCCCUGCUUCCAGGAAAAGCCUCUAAGCAUCAGGUAACAUCAAAUCGUACCCCAAACCGACACAGGUGGUCAGGUAGAGAAUACCAAGGCGCUUGAGAGAACUCGGGUGAAGGAACUAGGCAAAAUGGUGCCGUAACUUCGGGAGAAGGCACGCUGAUAUGUAGGUGAAGUCCCUCGCGGAUGGAGCUGAAAUCAGUCGAAGAUACCAGCUGGCUGCAACUGUUUAUUAAAAACACAGCACUGUGCAAACACGAAAGUGGACGUAUACGGUGUGACGCCUGCCCGGUGCCGGAAGGUUAAUUGAUGGGGU